RNAcentral lists this long non-coding RNA (588 nucleotides) under Nicotiana benthamiana. Its description in RNAcentral is "long non-coding RNA (NBEN_LNC017179)". Lineage: Eukaryota; Viridiplantae; Streptophyta; Magnoliopsida; Solanales; Solanaceae. The record is from RNAcentral.
AACCAAAACAUGCCCGAAUGACCUAAAAUUUUGCACACACAUCCCAAAUGACACGACGGAUCUAUUGCAACUUUUGGAAUUCCAUUUCGACCCUCGAAUCAAAAGCUCACUAUCAUACCAGAAACUUCAAAAAUUUCAAACUUCGGCAUUUCAAGCAUAAAUUAGCUACGGACAUCCAAAUACAUUCUGAACUCUCUCCCAAACCCGAAAUCACCUAAUGUAUCUAACAAAAUCAUCGUAUUUCCAUUCUGAGGUCGUCUUCACAUUGUUCUGACUAUGAACCACUUUUCAAAACUUAAGCUCUUAUUUAGGUACUAAGUGUCCCAAACUCUCCAAAGCCUAACACCGAACGUCCCGGCAGACCAAAUAGCAGAAAUAAACUUAGGGGAAGUAGUUAAUGGGGGGAUUGGAGCGUAAAUUUCAAAAAUGACCGGCCGGAUCGUCACAAUUUUAUGGUAUAAUUUUGGGGGCGAUUGGACCACCAAAAUCCCUGUGAGGCAAAUUUCGGUGGUGGUUUAUGGUGGAGGCGGCGAAGAAAUGGAGGGCGGAUAGGGUUACACUGGUAAUGGUGAGAUGCAAAGCAAAAAU